Molecule: long non-coding RNA, 1600 nt
Organism: Daphnia pulicaria
Lineage: Eukaryota; Metazoa; Arthropoda; Branchiopoda; Diplostraca; Daphniidae
Exons: 6
Source: RefSeq, a predicted model, not a curated record
UCAAAAUUGGUAAUAUCUACACAUGUGAAAAUUCAAUGUCGGUAUAAAGUCACAGCGUUAAAAAUUGUGACUUUUGUCUACAUAUACCUCCAACUUGAGCAAACAAGUCCAAGCAAUCUUGGGUAAAGAGUGAUUCAGGCACUCUUAGCAAACCCUCUUCAUCCAAACGGUGGUUCCUCAACUCUUCAACCAACUGCAUUUCGGGGUAUGCCAAAGACGUUCCUUUCUCUACUCGACUGGGUGAAAUUUCGGACUCGCAGCCGACUGCGUUUCCUCAUGGGCAGCCCGUAUUUGUCAAACAAAGCGGUCAGUUCCAGUAGAGCCAGUUGACGUAAUUUUCUCUUUUGCGCAUGGGCCGAAGCCGACGAGAGGGUUCCGACCAGUUUGAACUUGACAAUUUCGAUUCCUUGUCUAUCGACAGCGGCUACGUGACCUUCGGCCGCUGGACUGAAAAAUCCCGGGCGGGACGGUUUGAACGACUGCUGUUUAAUCCCGUCGAUUUGAUUGAAACUACUCCGCCUCCUAGCCUCUGAUCUGUGGGUGUUGGGUAUCGGAAGAAACGAAUCCAGAAUUUUGACAGAGGACUACUUUGUUGUUGUUGCUGGAAAUAGUCGCCGCAUCAUCUUCAUCCAGACAGCUGCUUUGAAAGAGACUGGAUAAAAGCUCGCCAUCUUCCUGGCUGCCGGAGCGUGACCAAGUUUUAGGUGAGAUGGCCGGACUGAUGGUAAGUCGUCCUCCUCCUCCUACACUUGCCACUAAAUUCUCCGUCGAGUGUUUCAUCGAGUCCGAGUCCAAAGAGUCAGGGGUGGCUGAUCGCGAACGGCCACUCGAUCCGCCGCUGUGACUGGCCUGAUCGUGUUUUUUUAUUUUUUUUAAGUUUCCGUUAGCCGAGCUCAAUUUUUUUCUAUUCUUAUCUCUCCAUCAAAACUCACCUCCGGAUCACGGAAAAUGUCCCGGCAAUCGGGUCUCUGUUGGCCGGCUCCCGCUCGAGUUUUACGUCCUUUUAAAGUGACUCGGAGGGUCUCCACUCUUUUGCGGAUGGUUUGGUAUUGAUUGGUUGUCAAAUUGUCCUCGAUGACGGCGUUGGCCAGGCUGGCUUCCGUCACUAAUUGAUUGUUUUCCAUCAGGUUGUCGACAAUGUUGCCCAAUCCGACGUCGAUGAGCCACGUAGCGGCUUCUUCCGCUUCUGUGUCGUGCCAAGAAAAAUUGUUAACGGGACGACACUUUUGCUGUGUUUUUCAUUUUGACAUUGUGCGUCGAGUCGUUUACCUUCCAUCGUCGAGGCGGAGCAGAGCAGCUCGUCUUCGGAUGAUGUGGUUUCAACCAUUGACCUGACGUGGUUUUCCGGCCAGACGUCGUGAAGAUGGGCUUCCCCUUCGACGACCGCUGCCAUGAUGAUGAUGGUUGCUGGAGUCUAUAGUUUGGAGAGCUCAAACUUUCCCUGCCGCAAAAAAAGAAAAAGAAAGCGACAGCCGAAAAAGAAGAAGAAGAAAAAAAAACCUUGGGUGCAGAGUUCGGUGAAACGACGUUGGUACUGAUUCAAUUCAGAGUUGCCCGGCACGGCGUCCAACUGGCGUCGCAAUUUCAUCAAAUUCACGUU